AAGAAAAAAGAAAAAAGAUAGUUGAAGGAGCUAUUGAGGGGGUAACAGAUGCCAGAAAGUAAGAGAUUAGAGGGCAACAGAAGAUGGUGGUAUUCUCACAAAGUGCAAAGAAGAAGAAGAAAAAAUUUCAUGAGAUUCGCCAGUGAAUAAUCCCAGGAACCAAGCAGAAAAGUCUAGAGCUGACUGGUCCCCAGGGACAAUAAGGGUACUGAAGGGAGGUAUGCACUGUUUUGAAAGACACAGUACUUCAUGUAGACACUUUCUUGAGAUUUAGUGCUAAAGGGAGAAUCCACAUGUGAUGAGGACCAAUGUUUCAGAUUAAUUCCCUUCAACAGAAUUGAUGUCUUCAUUGUAGAUUGAUUUUUAUUAUAGAAUAAAUCUUCAUUACCACAUUCUAAAAUUAAAUGAUGUAUAUAUUUAAACCAACCCUUGGUUAUAGGAAUACAACAUGAACUUAUGUAGAAGAUGUCGUAUCUCUAAUACGCUUAUUAUUAAGCCUUAUACAUUCAUUCCUCUUCACGCACAUAACGCGUUCCUGGCACUGUGCUGGGGGCUGGGAAACCAAAGUGAAUUGCUCUCAUGGAGCUGGUGAAGAUAAAUGUAAACUAAAUAGAGAAAGAGAGAAAAUAAGGAUUGCCUGUUAUUGACAAGGUUCUAAGUGCUGAAAUCCAGAAUGAGGAGCAGGAUACACUGUGAAUAAGGUAGCAAGGUCUGUUUUAGUCAUCUUCAGGAUGACCUGAAGUGACUGGACUAGCAUAAGAAUUUAGUAAUUCUUUAUAAUUAUUACUAUUCUAUUCAGUAAUUACUAGUGGUUAGAUAACUCUUUAGAGGAAAUGCGUAGCAUUCUUUUAGGCACUUUUAUAACUUAAUGACCAGAGAAGAGAGGAAGAAAACCAGUAUCAAUCAGUGCCUGUCAUGUGCCAGACAUUGCUCACAUAUCUUAUCACAGUCCUUAUUAUACUCUUAUACUCAUUUUUCAGAUGGAAGAGCCAAGGUCCUAAAUAGUCAUUUCUUGCCCAAGAGCUCAGUCAAAAGCUCCUUCCACUAUACCAUCCAUUAGACAUAGAUCUGAACUGCAUCUGUAAAAGGCAAUAACUUACUUCCUUAUCACCAAAUGGAUUAACUUUAAAACAAGACCUUUUUAGGAGUUCCCGUUGUGGCUCAGCGGAAACUAACCUAACUAGGAUCCCAUGAGGAUACAGAUUCAAUCCUUGGCCUUGCUCAGUAGAGUAAUGAUCCAGCGUUGCCCUGAGCUGGGGCAUAGGCUGGCAGCUAGGCUCAGUUUCAAUUUAACCACAGCAAGAGCCCCACUGUCUAUUUCUUUGCUCCAAGUGCCCUUUAUCUUAUCUUAUUCCUUCACCAUAGCCACAGAGAGUUAAUGAUUUGCUCGUGAUCAACAUUUAUUGAGGUGUCAGACAGGACGCUGGGUGCUGGGUACAAACGAUGAGCUGAUGUUGCCUCGAGGAGUCUGGUCUCAUAACUGAAUGACAUUCUAAACUGUUCUCUCCGCCCUUUCCAUCCCUUUCUCCUCCCUCUGUCCUGGGAAGGGAUCUUUAGCCUAGUCCUCCGGGGUGGUUAAUCUUUCCAUGAACUGGCCGAGGUGGACCAGUUGAGCCUGCCAGAUCGAAAGAUCAAAGGCACCUGGAGCCUUGACGCCUGGAGGAAGCCAGCCGGGCUUUCAAGAAUGCCGUUGGCACCACAUGAGUUUCCAAGGGCAUCGCCAGAAUUUGGAGAAAAGGAUGCAAAGCUAAGAAAGGAAGUUCGGCUUGCCAGCUGGUUUGGGCCAGUGCUUCUGUUGGUCGAGCUGGGUUGUUACUUUAAGAACCCUUCCUGGGCGGUUUCCCUGCGCGGGGUUGGUCCCCACUGGCACACGCACCUGGUGGUCUUCGAGGCGGCACCUGGAAAGGGAUGUGGACCCAGGAUGCUGUGUAGGCUGAGGCUUGGAACUCGGUGUCUCCAUAGUCUCCUUCCGCCCACUUCCAGAAACUCAUCUCCGGGUCAAAAAGCCUUGGAGGAGCCGUUCCCUAUGAACGCUUUUGGCUUGGGUCCCUCCCUGGUCCUCGAGCUCCACCUGGCGUGCACUCUGCGUUCCCCUGAACCCCUGCACCCCAUCCUAGGCAGACUUCUCACCAGCCAGAAUCACAGAGCCAGAGCCCAGAGCAAACCCAACUACUCCUCCUGGAGCGAAGGGGUUCCAGGCGCCCAGAUCUCUCUCCCCCAGUAAGGGCUGCAACCAAGCCAGUAGCAGUGGAGGCCCUAAUCCAUCCGGGUCUUUAAUCCAUCAGCUGAUGGCUGAAAUCUCUUUGAGCACGCAAGACAAAUACCCACACAGAUCCAUACACCAGGGUCGUACAAAUCUUUUAUUUUCUGAGGAAGACUGGUUUGAUGUCGUAACUGGCAUUUAACCCAUUCAGAAUAAUACACUGAAUGCCACCGUGGAGUGAGUAGAAAAGUAAAUGAAACUGGAGCCCAGAACAUGCAGACUCUAAAGGAAAAACAAAAACCAAAAAACUUCCCCAAUAUUUCCCUUCCCUCUGCAUUAACUUCUUUUGUUUCUCUAGUGACGCACAUCCCCAGAGAUCCUCAGAGUCUGCUUCCUGGACCAGCAACUUUUGGGAUCUUGUUAGAAGUAGAAAUUCUGGAGCCCCACCUCAGACCUUUUGAAUCUGAAACUCAGCUGGGGGAGCACAAACAUCUGCUUCCAGCAAUCUUCUGGGUGAUUCUCAUACACACUGAAGAACCAACCGUAGGCUUCAAGCCUCCCCUGGACAGUACUUCCCACAGAUCACGAAAUACAACCAGCAGGUACUACCUUGUUUAGCACUGUUUUUAGAAAGAGGUCUCCGAUGUGACUGGCGGAAAAGCUGCUGGAAGCACAAUGAGUUGCCUUUAAAACGUCAUAAAAGGAAUCAGAGAGGGAGAGGAGAGGGACUUCCCCGGCUGCCGUCCACUUUCAGUAUCUGUCUACUUCUGAGAACUCACAGACGGUGAUUUGAAAUACUUCAUUUUCCUCUCAGGCUUCUACAACCUGCUUUGGUCAUUCCCCUGGUUCUCUCUGAAAGCAUCUUCUAGGACAAUUUUUAUAACGAAGAGGCCACGGACAGGACAGUCUCCCUCACCCCUAUCUGGCUUGUAGUAAAAGGGAUCCCCCACUCUUCCAGUUGCCCAUUGCUUCCAGUUUAAAUCAAGACACACACUGAGCACCUAGACUGGCAGUCACAUCCUGCUGGGACAGGUUUGUGACACAGGGAAGUAGGGCAUGGUGGGUGAGGGAGUGCUGAUGAUCUGGCAGAAGAGAAGGGCACUUGGGAAUGAUGGACGUUUAGACUGUGGAUGUGUGUGUGGAGGGGUGUGGGGCAGUCACAUUACCCUGUGCCAAGGCUAGUGCUGGCCACAACCCGUCAUUCGCUUUCAGUGCACAACCCUUGGGUCCCCAAGUGAGCCCAGGCCUGAAGGCUGUGACCUCUUUGCUCUGGGCUUCCUGACAGCCAGGCACUAUUUGCUGGUCCCAGACCCUAUCUUUGCUCUCUAAAUAUUUCUGAAUUCCUGACUUCUAGAGGAUCAUUACAUUGCUGUAAGUCUCUGGACAAAUUUGGAGAACAUUGAGGAAGGGUAAAGGUGUGUGUGUGUGUGUGUGUGUGUGUGUGUGCGCGUGUGUGUGCGCCUGAGAGAGACAGAGAGAGAGGGAGGGAGAAAGAGAGAGGGAGAGAGUUGUAACCUUUAACAUUGCAACGACGACGAGGUGUUUUGGUUCUAGCAAUAAAAGGACCUUAGCCUGUGUGGUAUAAACUCACCCCUUUAAGCUUCCUGCCUGAAGCUCAGGUCUAUUAUAGACUGCUCGCUGCCAGCCACUUCGUACAAAUGACUAAUAUUUGCAUGGAUCUUUUCCUCUACAAAGCAACUGCAAAAAUGUAAUUUCAUUUGAGUGCCACGAAUGCUUUGUGAGGUGAAAGAGGAAAAGAAUGUAUGUGAUCAUUAUUAUCUCAUAAUCACCUUUAUCCCCACUUUCGGAGAUGAGGAAACUGAGGAUCCAAACCCUUUCAGGAAACAAAAACAAAAACAAAAAUAAAACUAAAGCUGGAGCCCAAACUAGGGCUUAACCUGUGUGUCUUGUAUACAUAGAUUCAGGCAUUAUGCGGUGGGAGGCAUGAGAACUUUUUAACAAAUCCGUUUGCAAUUAGGGGUCUUCACAGAAUGAAUGAACCAGCCAAAGUUACUUCUCUGGGGGGCUGCCUUUGUGGGGUGCUCAGAAUUUUAAGCAUCUGUUUGUAAAAACAUGAGUGGGAGCUUGGAAAUUUUGCUGAACGUGAAGUACAAACUGAAUCUCGUUGGAACUCAUCUCUGACUUGAACUCUGGAUCAGGGAGCCCUGGAGCCUAAGGCGGACUGUCCCUGUAGCAGAAGCGAAUGAAAGUAGUGGUGGCCAGAGCUUAAAAUGCUCUCCUGAAGGUCAAGUCGGGGUAGGGGGUUGGGGGAGUGGUAGGGAAGCCUGACGCCUUAAUAGUCCUCCGACGACGUGCAGUUGACAGGCACGUGGAUGAGGAGUCAGCCUUUGGAAAAUGGAGGUGUGGACUUGGUAACGUGGGAACUACCACCGACAGGGACCAUCCCUCCAGCCCAGCGAUUCCCCGGUCAAGAGGAGGAGUUGGUUGGAGGUAAGGGCAGCUCUUACUCCAGGUACCAAACUGAAC
RNAcentral lists this long non-coding RNA (4690 nucleotides) under Sus scrofa (pig). RNAcentral's name for it is "lncRNA (ENSSSCG00000062201.1)". The record is from RNAcentral. Lineage: Eukaryota; Metazoa; Chordata; Mammalia; Artiodactyla; Suidae.